CAAUAGCGUAUAUUAAAGUUGUUGCAGUUAAAAAGCUCGUAGUUGGAUUUCUGGUAGGAGUGACCGUUCCGAACUUGAUUGUUCGUGUAUUGUGUUUUCUCCAGCCAUCCUUGUGGAGAACUUUUCUUGCAUUAAUUUGUAGGGAUUGGGACCCGCAUCGUUUACUGUGAAAAAAUUAGAGUGUUUAAAGCAGGCAAUCGCUUGAAUACAUUAGCAUGGAAUAAUAAGAUAGGACUUUGGUACUAUUUUGUUGGUUUGCAUACCAAAUUAAUGAUCAACAGGAACAGUUUGAGGAUAUUCGUAUGAACAUGUCAGAGGUGAAAUUCUUGGAUUUUGAUCAGACGAACUACUGCGAAAGCGUUUAUCAAGGAUGUUUUCAUUAA
RNAcentral lists this ribosomal RNA (383 nucleotides) under uncultured eukaryote. Its description in RNAcentral is "partial 18S ribosomal RNA". It matches the Rfam family "Eukaryotic small subunit ribosomal RNA", at positions 592 to 976 of the family's 1831-position model. The record is from RNAcentral.